UACGGAGGGUGCGAGCGUUGUUCGGAAUCACUGGGCGUAAAGGGCGUGUAGGCGGUCCGCUAAGUCUGAUGUGAAAGCCCGGGGCUCACCCCCGGAAGUGCAUUGGAAACUGGCGGACUCGAGUCCCGGAGAGGAGACUGGAAUUCCUGGUGUAGCGGUGAAAUGCGCAGAUAUCAGGAGGAACACCGGUGGCGAAGGCGGGUCUCUGGGCCGAUACUGACGCUGAGGAGCGAAAGCGUGGGGAGCGAACAGG
This 253-nucleotide ribosomal RNA is filed under the name uncultured bacterium. Its description in RNAcentral is "partial 16S ribosomal RNA". It matches the Rfam family "Bacterial small subunit ribosomal RNA", at positions 524 to 776 of the family's 1533-position model. The record is from RNAcentral.